UUUGAGUUGUAAUAGAAUCCCAUAACAAUGAAUUCGUUUUAAAGUUAUCAAAAACUUCAGAAGGUGUGAUGGAUUAACUGAAAGUUCGUUUAUAAUUCACAAAGUUCAGUCACUAACUUUUUAAAGCAUCCAUAGGAUUUAAAAGUAGAACUGAUCGAUUUGUAUGUUUCAAUUUAAUAGUGAAUGUUUCGAAUAAAUUCGCAGGGAGGAGCUUAGAGUCAUCACAACAAUCAUCUAGUCCGUGUACCAUUUUAUUGCACCUCUUAUAAAUUACAUAGAAAUUUCAUGGCAAGGUCCCUCUUCCCACACAUAUUCUCUGGAUCUCCCCUUCUUUCUCUAGUCUUGCUUUUCCUCCAACUCCAACCUUCC
Molecule: long non-coding RNA, 369 nt
Filed under: Setaria viridis
Lineage: Eukaryota; Viridiplantae; Streptophyta; Magnoliopsida; Poales; Poaceae
Description: long non-coding RNA (SVIR_LNC007170)
Source: RNAcentral